This 255-nucleotide ribosomal RNA is filed under the name uncultured bacterium. RNAcentral's name for it is "partial 16S ribosomal RNA". It matches the Rfam family "Bacterial small subunit ribosomal RNA", at positions 524 to 776 of the family's 1533-position model. The record is from RNAcentral.
UACGUAGGGUGCAAGCGUUUGUCCGGAAUUAUUGGGCGUAAAGAGCUCGUAGGCGGUUCGUCGCGUCGGCUGUGAAAACCUGAGGCUCAACCUCAGGCCUGCAGUCGAUACGGGCGGACUUGAGUACUGCAGGGGAGACUGGAAUUCCUGGUGUAGCGGUGAAAUGCGCAGAUAUCAGGAGGAACACCGGUGGCGAAGGCGGGGUCUCUGGGCAGUAACUGACGCUGAGGAGCGAAAGCGUGGGGAGCGAACAGG